Long non-coding RNA from Homo sapiens (human), 756 nucleotides. The record is from Ensembl. NCBI's taxonomy places the organism in Eukaryota, Metazoa, Chordata, Mammalia, Primates, Hominidae.
AGGUGGGAGAGGGGGGAACGUACACUGUGCAGUAAAUAGUAAUGUGGUGAGGCAUUUGUUAUGGACAGAAUUGUGUCCCUCCAGAACUAUGUUGAAGCUCUAACUCCUCAUGUGACUGUAUUUAAAUAGAGAUAGGAGCUAUAAGAAGGUAAUACAAGUUAAAUGAAGUUAUAAGGAUGGAACUUUGAUCUGACAAGACUGGUGCCCUUGUAAGAAGAGACAACAGAGAUCUCUCUCUCUCUGUGAGCACAAAGAGAAGAGGCCAUGUGGAGACACAGGGAGAAAGCAACAGUCUACAAGCCAGGAAGAGAGUUCUCACCAGAAACCAACUUGAUGGCACCUUGCUCUUAGACUUCUAGCCUCCAGAAUGGGCCUGAUGCAGAAGUGCUUCUCCUUCCCCUUGCCCCUGGACCUGAGCCGGAGCUGUCUAUCUACAUGAGGACACCAUCUGGCAACACUGAAAUGUUGCCCUCACUGUAUGCCAUCACCAGGAAGACAAGCAAUAGAUGAUGAGUGAAAAUAAAAUGUUUAGUUGGAAACUAUUUGGGAAUGGCUUUAUGUCCACAUAUGGACACAGCCUGGCUGGAACUGGGGAGAUCUUCCCUUUCUGGUGUCUUUUCAAGGUCUUGAGAUGAGCUCUAACAAAUAUCUCAGGCCAUCUGGCCUAGUUUUUCAUAAUUGUGACUCCUAAAUGUAAACACGGUCCGAGAGAAUAUCGGGAACAAAAAAAAGGCUAAUGAAAUUCUUCUAAUUUAA